Molecule: transfer RNA, 72 nt
Filed under: Markhamia cauda-felina
Lineage: Eukaryota; Viridiplantae; Streptophyta; Magnoliopsida; Lamiales; Bignoniaceae
Description: tRNA-Cys
Source: RNAcentral
CUAGAUGACUCUCCCUCACCGAAGGAAGGGAUAUAACGGUUCAAGUUCCGGAGAAGAAAAUGUAAUGAUAAA